UCUGCGCAAAGAGUUUGAAUAUGCAGAUGUUUGGUCCGACAGAUCAACAAAACCUUUCGCUGCAUUAUAUUCAACAAUAGUUCGAGGGCUAAAAGUCAUAGUAGCGUAUCUACAAAAACCCAACUUUUCAGGAGAGCAAAAAACAACUAUGAGUCCACACUAUUUCUGAGGUCUGUAUUAAUUUCAACAACCUAUAAUUCACAUAUCAAUGUUGUAUGAAUCUUAUGCUUCUACCAGUGCGUUCAUUUCGAUGAAUUAUUGAAAAUUCAAUUAAAUAAAAUUGAAAAUGAAAUACCUUGUUCUAGUUACGCUAUUGUGACCGUAAUCAAUUUCCAAAAAUGUAUCAUUUUCUGGAGAUAAGCUAUUCUGAGAGUGAUCAGUUAUGAAUAGUAACAAUUUAUUAAAUUGUUCCAUGUAUUUUAUAGAUGUUUAUUGACAUUCAAUAACAAAAUAUGAGAGAUAUAUGAUAAUAUAUAAAAAGUAUAGAAAAUCACAGGUGCCUAAUAAGUAGGUACAGCAUUAUUGAAGGACUGGAAAAUUAAGUACUGAAAUGAAAUUAUAAUGCUCUAAGAAUGAUUGAGAAUAACAAAAUAUGAAACAAUAACAUUAAAACUAAAUUCAAAAAUUCCAGUCUCUUCAUAUAACACUUGAAUCAAACUUGAAAAUGUUACUAUCUUCAAUGACUACAGCCUAUAGAUAUUUAUCACCAAAACUCAUCAUUUCUCAAUGUCAUUUUCUUUAAAGGACUGGAAAAGUAAAUACUAAAAUACAAUAAAAAUACUCUGAGAAUGACUGAAAAUCACAUAAUAUUAUGAAACAAUUACACUAAAAUUACAUUGGAAUCUCUCUCAAUGACUCUCUUCAAAUUAUUCACUCUCUUCAAUGAAUAUAAUAGGCUAUUUAUCAACAAAGCUCAUCAUUUUAUGCAGGUGGAAAUACAGGUGGUCCAUAACAAUGCUCUCAUAGACCAUGGCAAUUACAGACUGUAUUGUAAUAGGUCUAUAGUUUUUUACAUCACCUCGAUCUCCAGAUUUGUAUAUAGGUACCAAGAAACUGUUUUUGAAAUCUCUGGGGAAGACACCAAGCUCCAGCAAGGCAGAGCCAGUAUGGCCAGGUGAAUGGCCACAACAGAAAAACCUAAUUACAGGAAGGGAUAUUCCAUCAGGCCCAGUUCCUCUGCCAACAUUCAGAGCUUCCAAUCUGCGUUGAAUAUUGAUUGGAGUAAUGCAGCAGGAUGGAACUAGCUGGUUUCAACCAAAAUCAAAUGUCGGGACAUUAACCGUGUCCUGCACAAAAAUAGAUGAAAAAUAAUCAGCGAUGAGUUUACACUACUUAUCAACAGGAGUUGCAGCACUUCUUGUGCCCAGUCUCAUAAAAGUAGGUCUGGCUGAGCCUUUUCUCGAACCAUCCACAUGAGUCCAGAAAGAUUUAGAAUAUUUUGUCUAAACAAAUUCCUCUAAUCCAAGUAAAUAGUUAUUGUAUAACACCUUCUUGUCAAAACACGACAUUGAACCCUCAAAUUGCAAAAAACUUCAUAGAGCUGAAUACUACCAAUUGCCUUAUACUUUCUAUGAGCAGUUUUCUUGGCUACAAUCAAUCUUCUUAAUUCAAUGGAACCACUUAGGGAAACUAGAGACAUGAACCUUUUUCAUGAGUGUGAACCUCUUGAUGGUCAAGCUCAUAUACCUACAGAAAUUACUGAAAUGUUCCUCAGCUCUAAUGUUAUCAUCAAAAUUUGCAACUGGGUAAUUCAUAUUCUGAAACUCUAAAAAUAUGGAAGCUAAAUCGCACUUGUGAAAAUCAGGUAUUUGUUUUACAUAGCAGGGUUGUGUCCACCUCCUGUUCCAGGAGUAUGUGAUGAGUGCCUUUGAGGAUGCCUGCCAGGUCGAUUGUCUUUAUUUAGACCUCUCAAAGGCCCUCGACAGAGUUAACCACUCUCUCCUGGUUGCCAAACUGGAUGAUUAUGAGGUGCAUGUGUCAUGCUCAAGUGGUUAAACAGCCAUCUGAGGGACAGAACUCUGAUUGUCAGAACUCUGAGGGUCAUAUGUCAUCUCCUUUCCUGGCUCCCUCUGGAGUCCCUUAGGGAUCCCAUUUGGGCCCCUCCUCUUCAAUUUGUUUAUGAACGACAUUAAAAGCUUCAUAUCAUCCAUGUUUCUAAUGUAUGCUGAUGAUGUCAAGUUAUUCGAAAGGGUAUUGCAAGACUUAGGACAUGAAUCUCUGCAGAAUUCUCUCAACAACCUUGAUUUGUGGUGCCUUGAUAAUGGUAUGGCUCUGAAUGUAUCCAAGUGUGUUGUAAUGUCUUUCAAGCGUGGAACAAGUAUACAUGAUUCUCAAUACUCCUUGAGAUGCAUUCCUUUGAAAAGAGUAUGCAGCUUCAAGGACCUUGGAGUGACUAUGACUCAGUCUCUUAGCCCACUGGAUCACAUAAGUGUGAUCACUGGAGAGGCUAGAUCUCUCCUUGGCUUUAUAUUUAGGUCUACCAGGGAUUUCAGUUCUCCGAGAGUGUCUUGGUUUUGUUUAGGGCUCUUGUUCUUCCAGUGUUGGAAUAUGGCUCUAUUAUUAUGAAUAUUAUCCGUGCACCAUUCAAUCUAUACCAGAUUAACCUGGUGCAAAGUGUGGAGAGACGUUUUGUGAGGAUGCUGAGCUGCAGGAUGGGUUUCAAGUACUUUGAAGUUCCUGUGGAGGAGAUUAAGGGACAGACCAUCUCCUCCCUUCGGUUCUGAGGUGGGAACACAACGACCUGGUCCUUCUUUUCAAGACUGUCAAUGGAUAUUUGGACUGCCCUGAACUUCUGGCUAGUAUUAACAUCUGUGUUCCAAGAGGAAUGUGUUCAAGGUUCUAUUUUCCGCAGAUGCUCUCACACAACCUAUGCCUAUGAUAGUGGGCUUUCUAGAAUACUUCGCUCUGGUUGUGAGGCUGCUGCAGCUGAUGUUGAUUUCUUUGGGGUGUCCUUGGGCUUUCUCAGGAGAACUAUGAAGAGAUACCUGCAUGUGUGAUUUUGGUGUUCCCUUCCUUGUUUAUACCCCUUGUGGUAAACUUCCAUGGGCCUUUUCACUUAUAUGUAAUAUUGUAUGUUAACUAUGAUUCAUUCUGUAUUCUAAUUUUUGUCUUUCAAACUAUCCACAGAUGUUUUUUUAUUGUUGUAUAUUAUUAUUUAUCUAUAUAUUCUUCGCUUGUAUCUCUUUUUCUAUGUUAUUUUCAUGUGUAAUUCGUGUUCUACCGUUGGAAGUUGAAUGAAUGAAUAAAUAAAUAAAUAAACUUUCUUCCAACUUACAAUCAUCAGCUUCCUUCAAGCAUUUCUUUGCCAACUCACACGAAAAAAACUCCUCUGUUUUUCGUGAUCAUUGAUCAGAAUAAAACACAAACAGGAAAAAAUACAGAAGCUAGUCUGAUUAUCUUGUUGAAUCAAGACUUAUGGGCUAUGAAAGUUAUGUUGGCAUUGAUUUUGUGAGCUUUUACACGCUCAAAGUUACAGUCACACUAGCGUAAGUUGACACAUAAGCUAUUAUGUAGGUCACUAACUGAAGCGUAACUGAAGAUAAGCUUUUGUGUCAUUCAGUUUUGUUCAAGUCAAAGAAGCGUAACAGAACAUAAGCUUUUGUGUCAUUUAUUUCAUCACCCGAUUGUAGAUACGAUAUCCACUCAUCUUUCCAAUGGCUAAUGCAAUGAGAUAAGCGUGUGUGUCACUAAAUAGACCACGAAAAGUUAUUUAGAUAGGUCAGAUAAGCUAAAAAACGGAAUUUUGUAGAUACGCUACUAUGACUCUAAACCCUCGAAACAUUCUGUUGAA
This is a long non-coding RNA of Nilaparvata lugens (brown planthopper), 3790 nucleotides long. RefSeq lists it as uncharacterized. The transcript is spliced from 3 exons. The record is from RefSeq and is a predicted model, not a curated record. NCBI's taxonomy places the organism in Eukaryota, Metazoa, Arthropoda, Insecta, Hemiptera, Delphacidae.